Molecule: ribosomal RNA, 254 nt
Filed under: uncultured bacterium
Lineage: Bacteria
Description: partial 16S ribosomal RNA
Rfam family: Bacterial small subunit ribosomal RNA
Source: RNAcentral
CACGUAGGGCGCAAGCGUUGUCCGGAAUUAUUGGGCGUAAAGAGCUCGUAGGCGGUCUGUUGCGUCCGCUGUGAAAACUCGGGGCUUAACCCCCGAGCCUGCAGUGGAUACGGGCAGACUAGAGGUAGGUAGGGGAGAAUGGAAUUCCCGGUGUAGCGGUGAAAUGCGCAGAUAUCAGGAGGAACACCGGUGGCGAAGGCGGGUCUCUGGGCCGUUACUGACGCUGAGGAGCGAAAGCGUGGGGAGCGAACAGG